GACAGAGGGUGCAAACGUUGUUCGGAAUUACUGGGCGUAAAGCGCGUGUAGGCGGCCAUCUAAGUCGGGCGUGAAAUCCCACGGCUCAACCGUGGAAGUGCACUCGAAACUGGAUGGCUAGAGUCCUGGAGAGGAAGGUGGAAUGCUUGGUGUAGAGGUGAAAUUCGUAGAUAUCAAGCAGAACACCUGCGGCGAAGGCGGCCUUCUGGACGAUGACUGACGCUGAGACGCGAAAGCGUGGGGAGCAAACAGG
RNAcentral lists this ribosomal RNA (253 nucleotides) under uncultured bacterium. Its description in RNAcentral is "partial 16S ribosomal RNA". It matches the Rfam family "Bacterial small subunit ribosomal RNA", at positions 524 to 776 of the family's 1533-position model. The record is from RNAcentral.